Molecule: ribosomal RNA, 254 nt
Filed under: uncultured bacterium
Lineage: Bacteria
Description: partial 16S ribosomal RNA
Rfam family: Bacterial small subunit ribosomal RNA
Source: RNAcentral
UACGUAGGGGGCAAGCGUUGUCCGGAAUCAUUGGGCGUAAAGGGCGCGUAGGUGGCUUGGUAAGCGUGCGGUGAAAGCCCGGGGCUCAACCCCGGGUCGGCCGUGCGGACUACCAUGGCUUGAGCACUGUAGAGGCAGGUAGAAUUCCGGGUGUAGCGGUGGAAUGCGUAGAGAUCCGGAAGAAUACCGGUGGCGAAGGCGGCCUGCUGGGCAGUAGCUGACACUGAGGCGCGACAGCGUGGGGAGCAAACAGG